This 550-nucleotide ribosomal RNA is filed under the name Rhodococcus rhodochrous. RNAcentral's name for it is "bacterial SSU rRNA". It matches the Rfam family "Bacterial small subunit ribosomal RNA", at positions 347 to 907 of the family's 1533-position model. The record is from RNAcentral. Lineage: Bacteria; Bacillati; Actinomycetota; Actinomycetes; Mycobacteriales; Nocardiaceae.
AGCAGCAGUGGGGAAUAUUGCACAAUGGGCGCAAGCCUGAUGCAGCGACGCCGCGUGAGGGAUGACGGCCUUCGGGUUGUAAACCUCUUUCACCCAUGACGAAGCGCAAGUGACGGUAGUGGGAGAAGAAGCACCGGCCAACUACGUGCCAGCAGCCGCGGUAAUACGUAGGGUGCGAGCGUUGUCCGGAAUUACUGGGCGUAAAGAGCUCGUAGGCGGUUUGUCGCGUCGUCUGUGAAAUCCCGCAGCUCAACUGCGGGCUUGCAGGCGAUACGGGCAGACUCGAGUACUGCAGGGGAGACUGGAAUUCCUGGUGUAGCGGUGAAAUGCGCAGAUAUCAGGAGGAACACCGGUGGCGAAGGCGGGUCUCUGGGCAGUAACUGACGCUGAGGAGCGAAAGCGUGGGUAGCGAACAGGAUUAGAUACCCUGGUAGUCCACGCCGUAAACGGUGGGCGCUAGGUGUGGGUUUCCUUCCACGGGAUCCGUGCCGUAGCCAACGCAUUAAGCGCCCCGCCUGGGGAGUACGGCCGCAAGGCUAAAACUCAAAGG